AUUACUAACCAUGCAUGGCAAACAAACAUAAUCACAUUAUAAACAUUAGACAUGACAUGAAUAGUUAGGCUUACAAGCCAUAAUUAAUAUGAGCCACAUCUCAUGGCCAUAUGCAUAUAACUCAAUAUAAGCCAACACAUUUGGCCAAAGAAAAAUAAUGCAUGCCAAUCAACUAGAUCCCUAUACAUGCCACUCACUUGAAAAUUUCUAAUAUAUACUUCAUUUUUUCCAAAGGUAGCGACUUGAUAGUGUGAUGCUGCCUCCGACGAUCUCCAACUCCGAGCUAACCUGAAAACACUAGAGGAAAGGAAAGGAAUGGAGUAAGCUUUAUAGCUUAGUAAGACCGUAUGAAAAUAAUAAGUAACUUAUCAACUUGCUUCUCACGGUAAUACAACCCUAUUUGCAUUUUUACUCAUGUUCCAAUCAAGCUAUUUUCUCGAGUCACAGUCACUAAAUUAUUUAUAUCUGGAGCUACGGAACUCAAAAUUAACUUCCGCUAAUUUUUCCUGAAACUAAACUCACAUAUCUUCUUACCAUAAAAUUUUCAAAAUUUUUGGUUUGGCCAAUUAGUACAGUUUAUUCCUUAAAUUUACCAUUUUUUGUUGUCUGAUAGUUCUAACUCCUCUUCACUAAAAAUUAAUUAUCUCAAGGUACGGGACUCGAAUGAUGUUCCCAUCUAUUUUUCUUAAAAAUAGACUCAUUAAUAAUUCUAAGCAUAUAAAUUAUAACUCAUAACUAUUUUAUUAGAAUUUUCAAUGAUAUUCUCAAAUCAGAACAGGAGAUUUUGAAGUCAUUCUAACUCUGUCUCACAACAAUUUAAAUAUUUUAUAAUAUGAAACUCUUUUGCUUACACCGUUUCUUCUAUAUGAAAUUAGACUCAUUAGGAUUUAAUUUCAUAUUUUAUUCAGCCUCUAACUCAAUUUCCAUAAUUUUUGGUGGACUUUCAAAGUCGGACUAUGGCUGCUGUCCAAAACUGUUUUAGUGUAAAUUAAUGAUACUAAGUUUAUCACACCAUAUUAAUUCACUUUUGCCACAUUGGUAAGGUUACAUAUUCAUACAUCAUAAGUAUAGACCUAUAUCACAAGGUCAUCACAAAAUCAUUCUCAUAAGCAUGAAUCACCUAUUUACAUCUUCACUAAAGGUGCAUCAUAAACUGAAAUCAUUUCUCAUGAGCUUGGCAUACAUACAUGUGUUAUUCAACAUGCGCAUUUUCAUUUCUUACUAAUCAUAUAACAUGAAUAGAAUUCACAUCUCAUCAAUUUCAUGUAAGUACUUGUACCACUCACAAUAUGGUCAUAACCUUUCUUGUUUAGCUUAAACCAUAACUCUCACUGUUGAACCAUUCGGAAAGCUAUCGAAUAUUCACUAAGCCUCAAACAUAAGGUAUAAUGCUGAUGCCAUGUCCCAGACAUGGUCUUACACUGGCUCAUCCAUCAAGUUGAUGCCAUGUUGCAGACAUUGUCUUACACUGACUAUCGAAAUCGAGGCUGACGUCAUGUCCUAGGAAUGGUCUUACACUAGCUCUCACAUAGCCAUAUCGAUGCCAUGUCCUAGACAUGGUCUUACACUGACACAUCUCGUAGUCGAUGCAUGUCCCAGACAUGUCUUACACUGGCUUACAUCUCGAGGCCGAUGUAUGUCCCAGACAUGUCUUACACUAGCACUCGUCUGAAUGCCGAUGCCAUAUCCCAGACAUGGUCUUACACUAGCUCACAAUAACCCAUACGUCAUGGCAUGAAUAUCCGAUUUAUUCCCUAUGGUUCAAAAGGGAAUUAUACUAUCUCAAUUAUCAUUAUGCAUUCUCAUUUCCACAAUCAAACAUUUCAUGCUAUAUCAAUUCAACACAUAAUAAUAAUAAUGUAAUUGUAUUAUUUACAUACAACUUACUCGUUUCAAUAGAAUAUCAUAUUCCAUCAAAUCUCCAAGCAUUCAAUCAACACAUAAACGCCAUUUACAUUUGACAUCACUUUCUCCUAUACAAUAUCAUCAACAUAAACUUUAGUAUAAUCAUGACAAGAUAGAUUUUAAAGUAUAAUAACAAUAGCAUAAAUAUCAUGCUCAUUUAAUCACACGGACUUACCUCAAAUGAAAUUUCGACUAAUUAUUCUCUUUUUGUCUUUAACUACGCACUUUCUCGAUUUAAGCCCAAAUCUCGAUUUUUAUUGAUCUAAAAUGAUGAAAUUCACUCAUUUAAUUAAUGUACUAAUCAUUUCAGACCUAAAACAUAUUUUGGAAAAAUUCACAUUUUGCCCCUAAACUUUUGCAUAAUUACGAAUUUACCCCAAGGCUCGGAAAUUGAAAUUUAUUAGAUUACUAGAAGAUUUAAUACAUGUUGAACAUUUUUUUCUUCUAUGGAAACCUCAAAUUCUCACUAUUUCAUGCUUUUAUAAGCAUUAACAACUUUUACUAAUUAACCCGUUUUAACCAUUUUCAACAGAAAUCACUUAACAAAAAUCGUUCUCCUAACCUCAAGCAUCCUUAUUCUACCAUUAAACAUCAAAAUGCACAAUUAUCUAGCAUCGGUCAAUUUUUUUAAACUUCAUUUUUCAUGCAAAUAAAUGGUAGAAAUAGAAAGGUUAAGCUUUUAGGAUCUCAAAAAUACGAAGAACAUUAAAAACGGGGCUCAAAUACUCUUACAAUUGAGCUUUGAAAAUCUUGAAACCUAGCCAUGGAGUCAUGUAAAUUUCGGCAGCCAU
Molecule: long non-coding RNA, 2696 nt
Filed under: Gossypium barbadense (sea-island cotton)
Lineage: Eukaryota; Viridiplantae; Streptophyta; Magnoliopsida; Malvales; Malvaceae
Description: long non-coding RNA (GBAR_LNC000312)
Source: RNAcentral